UACAAGGUGCUGCAUGGUUGUCGUCAGCUCGUGCCGUGAGGUGCCGGGUUAAGUCCCAUAACGAGCGCAACCCCUAUCAUUAGUUGCCAUCAGGUCAAGCUGGGGACUCUAAUGAAACUGCCUACGCAAGUAGUGAGGAAGUGGGGAUGACGUCAAAUCAGCACGGCCCUUACGUCCAGGGCUACACACGUGCUACAAUGGCCGGUACAAAGGGCAGCUACCUGGUGACAGGAUGCUAAUCUCAAAAGCCGGUCUCAGUUCGGAUCGGAGUCUGCAACCCGACUCCGUGAGGCUGGAAUCGCUAGUAAUCGCGCAUCAGCCAUGGCGCGGUGAAUACGUUCCCGGGCCUU
Molecule: ribosomal RNA, 350 nt
Filed under: uncultured Sphingobacteriales bacterium
Lineage: Bacteria; Pseudomonadati; Bacteroidota; Sphingobacteriia; Sphingobacteriales
Description: bacterial SSU rRNA
Rfam family: Bacterial small subunit ribosomal RNA
Source: RNAcentral